Molecule: long non-coding RNA, 292 nt
Organism: Lytechinus variegatus (green sea urchin)
Lineage: Eukaryota; Metazoa; Echinodermata; Echinoidea; Temnopleuroida; Toxopneustidae
Exons: 3
Source: RefSeq, a predicted model, not a curated record
CAGCUACUACUGACUUAACGACUCCAAUACCCGAUACUACGUCACAACCUCCACCAUCAACACCAAUGACAACAAUGCAAGAGCUCACCACUGCGGAUGAAACGGUAGCCCCAGGGAUCAGUACCUGUCAAGGGUACUGUGAAACAAAGGCACCAGGAGGAUGUUUCUGUGAUUACAUUUGUCAGGAAUACAAUGAUUGCUGUGAAGAUUAUUAUAUAUAUUGUCAACCUGUGGUACCAUCGACUACUUCAGAUACACCAACCACACAUCCUCCGACAACAACCGAUGCUGC